AAUCUUGGACAAUGGGCGAAAGCCUGAUCCAGCCACGCCGCGUGUGUGAAGAAGGUCUUCGGAUCGUAAAGCUCUGUAAGUUGGGAGGAACGGGUGUAGGUUAAUAUCCUUCUAUUUUGACGUUACCAACUGAAUAAGCAACGGCUAACUACGUGCCAGCAGCCGCGGUAAUACGAAGGGUGCAAGCGUUCACCGGAAUUACUGGGCGUAAAGCGCGCGUAGGUGGUUCGUUAAGUUGGAAGUGAAAGCCCCGGGCUUAACCUGGGAAUGGCUUUGAAAACUGGCGGGCUAGAGUACAGUAGAGGGUAGUGGAAUUUCAUGUGUAGCGGUGAAAUGCGUAGAUAUAGGGAGGAACAUCAGUGGCGAAGGCGACUACCUGGACUGAUACUGACACUGAGGUGCGAAAGCGUGGGGAGCAAACA
Molecule: ribosomal RNA, 422 nt
Filed under: uncultured bacterium
Lineage: Bacteria
Description: partial 16S ribosomal RNA
Rfam family: Bacterial small subunit ribosomal RNA
Source: RNAcentral